ACUUGCAUGUAGGGGGGAAGACUUGGCAAAUCCGGUUUUCCAUAACUCUGAGGUGCGAAGUGGUUCUGACCUUUUGGUACAGAGAAGUCAUUGAUGCCCGGCUUCCAGGAAAAGCUGCUAGCCAUAACUUAUAGAGAACCGUACCGCAAACCGACACAGGUGGACAGGUAGAGAAUACUAAGGCGCUUGAGAGAACUCGGGUGAAGGAACUAGGCAAAAUGGUACCGUAACUUCGGGAGAAGGUACGCCCUUUCUGGUGAUGGGAUUUACUUUCAGAGCUGGAGAGGGCCGCAGAGACCAGGUGGCUGCGACUGUUUAUUAAAAACACAGCACUCUGCAAAUUCGUAAGAAGACGUAUAGGGUGUGACGCCUGCCCGGUGCCGGAAGGUUAAUUGAUGGGGUUAUCUUCGGAGAAGCUCUUGAUCGAAGCCCCGGUAAACGGCGGCCGUAACUAUAACGGUCCUAAGGUAGCGAAAUUCCUUGUCGGGUAAGUUCCGACCUGCACGAAUGGCGUAACGAUGGCCACACUGUCUCCACCCGAGACUCAGUGAAAUUGAAAUCGCUGUGAAGAUGCAGUGUACCCGCGGCUAGACGGAAAGACCCCGUGAACCUUUACUAUAGUUUUGCACUGGACUUUGAUGAUGACUGUGUAGGAUAGGUGGGAGGCUGUGAAGUGAGGACGCUAGUUCUCAUGGAGCCGCCCUUGAAAUACCACCCUGUUGUUAUUGAGGUUCUAACUUGGUCCAGUAAUCCUGGAUGAGGACAGUGUAUGAUGGGUAGUUUGACUGGGGCGGUCUCCUCCCAAAGAGUAACGGAGGAGCACAAAGGUACCCUCGGUACGGUCGGACAUCGUACCAAGAGUGUAAAGGCAAAAGGGUGCUUGACUGCGAGAGUGACGGCUCGAGCAGGAACGAAAGUUGGUCUUAGUGAUCCGGUGGUUCUGAAUGGAAGGGCCAUCGCUCAACGGAUAAAAGGUACUCCGGGGAUAACAGGCUGAUACCGCCCAAGAGUUCAUAUCGACGGCGGUGUUUGGCACCUCGAUGUCGGCUCAUCACAUCCUGGGGCUGAAGCAGGUCCCAAGGGUAUGGCUGUUCGCCAUUUAAAGUGGUACGCGAGCUGGGUUUAGAACGUCGUGAGACAGUUCGGUCCCUAUCUGCCGUGGGCGUAGGAAAAUUGAGAGGAGCUGCUCCUAGUACGAGAGGACCGGAGUGGACGAACCUCUGGUGCACCGGUUGUCACGCCAGUGGCAUGGCCGGGUAGCUAAGUUCGGACGGGAUAACCGCUGAAAGCAUCUAAGCGGGAAGCCUCCCUCAAGAUGAGUUUUCCCAUGAAGCCCGUUGAAGACUACGACGUUGAUAGGCAAGGUGUGGAAGCGCAGUAAUGCGUGAAGCUAACUUGUACUAAUUGGCUGAUUGUCUUGACCAU
RNAcentral lists this ribosomal RNA (1425 nucleotides) under Legionella pneumophila. RNAcentral describes it as "partial 23S ribosomal RNA". It matches the Rfam family "Bacterial large subunit ribosomal RNA", at positions 1512 to 2925 of the family's 2925-position model. The record is from RNAcentral. Lineage: Bacteria; Pseudomonadati; Pseudomonadota; Gammaproteobacteria; Legionellales; Legionellaceae.